Molecule: ribosomal RNA, 879 nt
Filed under: uncultured bacterium
Lineage: Bacteria
Description: bacterial SSU rRNA
Rfam family: Bacterial small subunit ribosomal RNA
Source: RNAcentral
AGAGUUUGAUCCUGGCUCAGGAUGAACGCUAGCGGCAGGCCUAAUACAUGCAAGUCGAACGGUGGCAGCAAUGCCAUAGUGGCGCACGGGUGCGUAACGCGUAGCCAACCUGCCCUUGACUGGGGGAUAGCCCGCCGAAAGGCGGAUUAAUACCGCAUAAAAUGAAGAGACGGCACCGUUUUUUAUUAAAGAUUUAUUGGUCGAGGAUGGGGCUGCGUGCCAUUAGCUAGUUGGGGGGGUAACGGCCCACCAAGGCGACGAUGGCUAGGGGAGCUGAGAGGCUGGUCCCCCACACGGGCACUGAGAUACAGGCCCGACUCCUACGGGAGGCAGCAGUAGGGAAUAUUGGGCAAUGGGCGCGAGCCUGACCCAGCCAUGCCGCGUGCCGGAUGAAGGCCUUCUGGGUCGUAAAGCUCUUUUACCCGGGAUGAUAAUGACAGUACCGGGAGAAUAAACUCCGGCUAACUCCGUGCCAGCAGCCGCGGUAAUACGGAGGGAGCUAGCGUUAUUCGGAAUUACUGGGCGUAAAGCGCACGUAGGCGGCUUUGUAAGUAAGAGGUGAAAGCCUGGAGCUCAACUCCAGAAUUGCCUUUUAGACUGCAUCGCUUGAAUCAUGGAGAGGUGAGUGGAAUUCCGAGUGUAGAGGUGAAAUUCGUAGAUAUUCGGAAGAACACCAGUGGCGAAGGCGGCUUACUGGACGAUUGUUGACGCUGAGGUACGAAAGCGUGGGGAGCAAACAGGAUUAGAUACCCUGGUAGUCCACGCCGUAAACGAUGAUAACUAGCUGUUGGGCCUCAUAGAGGCUCAGUGGCGCAGCUAACGCAUUAAGUUAUCCGCCUGGGGAGUACGGUCGCAGAUUAAAACUCAAAGAAUUGACGG